CAAAGAUUAAGCCAUGCAUGUCUAAGUACAUGCCGAAAUAAGGCGAAACCGCGAAUGGCUCAUUAAAUCAGUUAUGGUUCCUUAGAUCGUUUCUUUCUACUUGGAUAACUGUGGCAAUUCUAGAGCUAAUACAUGCAGGAAACCUGAAGGCCUUUGGCUAACGGGUGCUUUUAUUAGACCAAGACCCAUCGGGUUCUGCCCGUACUCUGUGGUGACUCUGGAUAACUUUGUGCCGAUCGCACGGCCACGAGCCGGCGACGUUUCUUUCAAGUGUCUGCCUUAUCAACUUUCGAUGGUAGGUUACUUGCCUACCAUGGUUGUUACGGGUAACGGAGAAUCAGGGUUCGAUUCCGGAGAGGGAGCCUGAGAAACGGCUACCACAUCCAAGGAAGGCAGCAGGCGCGCAAAUUACCCACUCCCGGCACGGGGAGGUAGUGACGAAAAAUAACAAUACGGGACUCUUUUGAGGCCCCGUAAUUGAAAUGAGUACACUCUAAAUCCUUUAACGAGGAUCAAUUGGAGGGCAAGUCUGGUGCCAGCAGCCGCGGUAAUUCCAGCUCCAAUAGCGUAUACUAAAGCUGCUGCGGUUAAAAAGCUCGUAGUUGGAUCUCAGUUCCAGACGAGUAGUGCAUCUACCCGAUGCGACGGCUCGGACUGAACAUCAUGCCGGUCUCUUCUUGGUGCCCUUCAUUGGUGCGUCUCGAGGUGGCCGGUGCUUUUACUUUGAAAAAAUUAGAGUGCUCAACGCAGGCGAGUCGCCUGAAUAAACUUGCAUGGAAUAAUGGAACAAGAUCUCGUUUCUGUUCCGUUGGUUUUUGGAAUACGAGAUAAUGAUUAAGAGGGACAGACGGGGGCAUUCGUAUUGCGGCGCUAGAGGUGAAAUUCUUGGACCGUCGCAAGACGAACUACUGCGAAAGCAUUUGCCAAGAAUGUUUUCUUUGAUCAAGAACGAAAGUCAGAGGUUCGAAGGCGAUCAGAUACCGCCCUAGUUCUGACCAUAAACGAUGCCAACCAGCGAUCCGCCUGAGUUACUCAAAUGACUCGGCGGGCAGCUUCCGGGAAACCAAAGUAUUUGGGUUCCGGGGGAA
This 1088-nucleotide ribosomal RNA is filed under the name Amblyomma albolimbatum. Its description in RNAcentral is "SSU rRNA". It matches the Rfam family "Eukaryotic small subunit ribosomal RNA", at positions 38 to 1122 of the family's 1831-position model. Lineage: Eukaryota; Metazoa; Arthropoda; Arachnida; Ixodida; Ixodidae. The record is from RNAcentral.